ACACGGUGACGGAGAUCGUCCCGUGCCGUCCUCCCGAGGCAGUGCCGUACUCCUCGUGAGCACGGACCAGCGGCGGUUGGACCGGAGCCACAAGGCGGCGGAGGAAGGUGAGUCGACACGGGCCCGUCCCGUGUCGACGGCUUACAGCCCCGUCGUACGGCGCUCCGGCCCGACCGAGGAAGAUGGGCAGCCCUUGCCCACCGUGGCGCACGCCGAAUGGCGGGGCCUCCCGACACGAGUGAACGGUGCGGUGUGGACUGCACGCAGUGCAAACCGUGGCCGUGAUCUCGCGGCGGUGAGCGUCACCCGUGCGCCAGUGCCGCCGGUAUUCAGAC
Molecule: unclassified non-coding RNA, 335 nt
Filed under: Rhopaloeides odorabile
Lineage: Eukaryota; Metazoa; Porifera; Demospongiae; Dictyoceratida; Spongiidae
Description: sequence contains 28S rRNA gene
Source: RNAcentral